This 361-nucleotide long non-coding RNA is filed under the name Anneissia japonica. RNAcentral's name for it is "uncharacterized LOC117103846, transcript variant X2". The record is from RNAcentral. Lineage: Eukaryota; Metazoa; Echinodermata; Crinoidea; Comatulida; Comatulidae.
UGCUAAAUGCUUGUGACAACAAUGCUUGUCAGAAUGGAGCUGCCUGUGUCCAGGUUUCUGGUUCCUGUACAGCAUACACAUGUACCUGUCCAUCUUGCUACACUGGACAAUUCUGUGAAACUUUAUUGAAUGCUUGUAACAACAAUGCUUGUCAGAAUGGAGCUGCUUGUGUCCAGGUUUCUGGUUCCUGUACAGCAUACACAUGUACCUGUCCAUCAUGCUACACUGGACAAUUCUGUGAAACUUUAUUGAAUGCUUGUUCCAACCACGCUUGUCAAAAUGGAGGUGCCUGUGUCCAAGUUGCUGGUUCUUGUACAGCAUACACAUGUACCUGUCCAUCAUGCUACACUGGACAAUUCUG